AACGAACGCUGGCGGCAUGCCUAACACAUGCGAGUCGAACGAGACCUUCGGGUCUAGUGGCGCACGGGUGCGUAACGCGUGGGAACCUGCCCUUAGGUUCGGAAUAACUCCCCGAAAGGGGUGCUAAUACCGGAUAAUGUCUUCGGACCAAAGAUUUAUCGCCUUUGGAUGGGCCCGCGUUGGAUUAGCUAGUUGGUAGGGUAAAAGCCUACCAAGGCGACGAUCCAUAGCUGGUCUGAGAGGAUGAUCAGCCACACUGGGACUGAGACACGGCCCAGACUCCUACGGGAGGCAGCAGUGGGGAAUAUUGGACAAUGGGCGAAAGCCUGAUCCAGCAAUGCCGCGGGAGUGAUGAAGGCCUUAGGGUUGUAAAGCUCUUUUACCCGGGAUGAUAAUGACAGUACCGGGAGAAUAAGCCCCGGCUAACUCCGU
This 432-nucleotide ribosomal RNA is filed under the name uncultured bacterium. RNAcentral describes it as "partial 16S ribosomal RNA". It matches the Rfam family "Bacterial small subunit ribosomal RNA", at positions 29 to 506 of the family's 1533-position model. The record is from RNAcentral.